GCCAGGCAGUGACACGUGCCUGUAGCCCCAGCUACUCAGAAGGCUGAGUCAGGUGGAUCACUUGAGCCCAGGAGUUCUGGGCUGUAGUGUGCUAUGCCCCUUGGGUGUCCUACACUAAAUUCAGCAUCAAUAUGGUGAUCUCCCAGGAGCUGGGGACCACCAGGUUGCCUAAAGGGUGAACCAGCCCAGGUUGGAAAUGGAGCAGGUCAAAGCUCCUGGGCUGAUCAGUAGUGGGAUCAUGCCUGUGAAUAGCCGCUACACUCUAGCUUGGGCAACACACACCCCAUCUCUA
Molecule: non-coding RNA, 292 nt
Organism: Chlorocebus sabaeus (green monkey)
Lineage: Eukaryota; Metazoa; Chordata; Mammalia; Primates; Cercopithecidae
Rfam family: Metazoan signal recognition particle RNA
About the family: The signal recognition particle (SRP) is a universally conserved ribonucleoprotein. It is involved in the co-translational targeting of proteins to membranes. The eukaryotic SRP consists of a 300-nucleotide 7S RNA and six proteins: SRPs 72, 68, 54, 19, 14, and 9.
Source: Rfam